RNAcentral lists this ribosomal RNA (379 nucleotides) under uncultured eukaryote. RNAcentral describes it as "SSU rRNA". It matches the Rfam family "Eukaryotic small subunit ribosomal RNA", at positions 587 to 972 of the family's 1831-position model. The record is from RNAcentral.
AGCUCCAAUAGCGUAUAUUAUAGUUGUUGCAGUUAAAAAGCUCGUAGUUGGACUUCUGAUGUUGGGAUUCGGUCCACCGCAAGGUGAGCACUGAUGUUCUGAUGUCUUCCUCUCGUAGUUGUUUGGCGCACUUGAUUGGGUGCCGAAUGAAUAUGGGACCUUUACUUUGAAAAAAUUAGAGUGUUCAAAGCAGGCGAUCGCUUGAAUACAUUAGCAUGGAAUAAUAGAAUAGGACUUUGGUUCUAUUUUGUUGGUUUCUAGGACCGAAGUAAUGAUUAAUAGGGACAGUUGGGGGCAUUAGUAUUUAAUUGUCAGAGGUGAAAUUCUUGGAUUUAUGAAAGACUAACUACUGCGAAAGCAUUUGCCAAGGAUGUUUUCA